UUGAUUCAUAAGGUUUUUUUUUUUCAUUUUAAUUUAAAAAUUGCAGGUAAUUUCAAUUAAUUGGGUAUCCUUUAUUUUAACUGGCUGCUGCAGUUUCAAUGUUGUUUUGAUUUAUGCUGAUCUGGGAAAGAAAGUUGAUUUUGAUCUGGAUUAGGCAAAUGACACAGAAAAUCCUAAGACUCAAUUAUCUAAGCCAGCAAUUUUUGCUAAUUGUCAAACUAAUUUUUGGUAUUUGACUUUUCAUUACAUGCCUGUAUUGGGCGGUAAAAAAUGGUUAUUUGAUUUUUGGGUGAAGGGCUUGCUGCUUGUAUCCAUAACUUACCUAUGAAAUGUAGGUAUAGUUAAUGCACUAAAAUUUCUUAACAAAAAGGAAAUAUUUUCUCAACUGGCCAGCUGAAGCACUAUUGCUGUUGUUAAGUUAAAAGGCUGAUUUGACACUGCUAUUUAAGAAAGCAACCCAGCACCUAUUAUAGCAAUUCUUAGUUGACAAUUUGUGUAUGCAAACUGUGAUAUUUGUUGCAUGCUUCAAACUAUUAUUCUUGGUUUGUCCUGUGAUUGUGACAGUUAAACUAAUUUAAUCUUUUUUACCACCUUGUAGGAAGAACUUCAAUUAGCACUGUUUCAAACUUCUUAUGGCAAGAAUCUCUUCCUGGACAGGGUAAUGAAUGGACUUGUGUGUCAUGUUCCCGAACAAAUAUUGCAAACCAUCGCUUCAAUUGAUUUCUUGAUGGGAUCACAACAUGAUGGAAAUGGCAGUCUAUUGUACUAGCAUUUGUUAAAUUAUGAUUGUGUAUGUUAGGAUAUAAAACCUAACUGGCAGUUGCAGAAAAGAAUUAGAGUAGAAAAGGAGAAAGAAAGGGAAGAGAAGAGAGAGAACAGAGGGAAUAGAUGAUGAAUACAGGAGUUUUACAGCCCCUUUAUACCCAAUUUCCUGGCAGAACUCUAACUAAUUUUCCCUCCAUUCUCCAGCUGCUUUUUGUUGACUUUCUACCUCUACAACUAGCUAUAUAUGCCCUUUUCCCUAUACUUUCUCCUGCCAUACGUGGCAAUACCUCCUCCAUGAGAACAUUUCUCUCCCCAAUAAUGUGUAAAUUCUGGAAAUUGAGCUUGAAUAAAGGCUCCGUCCUCCCAGGCUGCAUCUUCUAGUGGCAGAUAAGUCCGCUGAUUGAGAUCUUGAGUAACCUUCUGGUUAUUCCUGAGAAUUGUUCUUGACUGCAACCUGAAUAUAGCUUCUGUCGUUCCAAGUUUCAGGUGUUUACUCUUUUUUCAGCUGAAAAUACGAACUCUUAAUUGACA
RNAcentral lists this unclassified non-coding RNA (1296 nucleotides) under Hevea brasiliensis (rubber tree). The record is from RNAcentral. Lineage: Eukaryota; Viridiplantae; Streptophyta; Magnoliopsida; Malpighiales; Euphorbiaceae.